RNAcentral lists this transfer RNA (72 nucleotides) under Diplospinus multistriatus (striped escolar). RNAcentral describes it as "tRNA-Thr". It matches the Rfam family "tRNA". Rfam says of the family: Transfer RNA (tRNA) molecules are approximately 80 nucleotides in length. Their secondary structure includes four short double-helical elements and three loops (D, anti-codon, and T loops). Lineage: Eukaryota; Metazoa; Chordata; Actinopteri; Scombriformes; Gempylidae. The record is from RNAcentral.
GCAUCAGUAGCUCAGCGCCAGAGCGCCGACCUUGUAAGCCGGAAGCCGGAGGUUAAAUUCCUCCCUCAUGCU